CUACGGGGCGCACCAGGCGCGAAACCUUUACAAUGUACGAAAGUGCGAUAAGGGAAUCCUAAGUGCUUAUGCUUAGCAUAGGCUUUUGUUAAGAGUAAAUAUCUUAGCGAAUAAGUGGUGGGUAAGACGCGGUGCCAGCCGCCGCGGUAACACCUGCGCCACGAGUGGGGAUCGGUUUUAUUGGGUCUAAAGCGUUCGUAGCUGGUUUAGUAAAUUUUUUGUGAAAUUGUUAAGCUCAACUUAACAGUAUGCAGAAACGACUGCUAGACUUGAGACCGGGAGGAGUUAGGAGUAUUCUUGGGGGAGCGGUAAAAUGUUAUAAUCCCGAGAGGACUACCUGUGGCGAAGGCGCCUAACCAGAACGGUUCUGACAGUGAGGAACGAAAGCUAGGGGAGCAAAACGGAUUAGAUACCCCUGUAGUC
This 423-nucleotide ribosomal RNA is filed under the name uncultured archaeon. RNAcentral describes it as "partial 16S ribosomal RNA". It matches the Rfam family "Archaeal small subunit ribosomal RNA", at positions 323 to 746 of the family's 1478-position model. The record is from RNAcentral.